Molecule: RNA transcript, 7534 nt
Organism: Empidonax traillii (willow flycatcher)
Lineage: Eukaryota; Metazoa; Chordata; Aves; Passeriformes; Tyrannidae
Gene: YTHDF1
Gene name: YTH N6-methyladenosine RNA binding protein 1
Exons: 5
Source: RefSeq, a predicted model, not a curated record
UGACGUCACCGCAGCCCGGCGCCCGCCGCCAUUGGACUCGGCGGCCGCCGCUGCCCCCGCUCGGAGCGGCCCCAGGCCCGGGCCGCGGGCAUGUGAGGCACGGGCCGGCACCGCCCGAGCACCGCCGAGCCGCGGCACCGCCCGAGCACUGCCGCCGCCCCCGGGGAGCCGCCCCGAGCAGGCGCCAGGCGGCCCCUUUCCCUCCCUCUCCCUCGGCCCCGGCCCCUUCCCCGCCCGGCCGCCGCCUGAGGGGAGAGGAGGCGCCGCCGCCGCCCCUCGGCCCCGCCAGGCCCCGCAGCCCCGCGGCCCUGCCCGGCGCUCUCUCUGCUGAACCACGGCGGCCCCGUGCAUGAAUUAUGUCUGCCACAAGCGUUGACCCUCAGAGACCGAAGGGACAGGAUAAUAAAGUACAAAAUGGUUCGUUACAUCAGAAGGACACAGUUCAUGACAGCGAUUUUGAACCUUACCUUUCCGGGCAGUCAAAUCAGAACAGUAGCUAUCCAUCAAUGACUGAUCCUUAUCUGUCCAGUUAUUAUCCACCAUCUAUUGGGUUCCCCUAUUCUCUCAGUGAAGCACCAUGGUCUACAGGAGGAGAUCCUCCUAUCCCCUAUCUCACCACCUAUGGACAGCUCAGUAACGGAGAUCAUCAUUUUAUGCACGAUGCUGUUUUUGGACAGCCUGGGGGUCUGGGAAAUAAUAUCUAUCAACACCGGUUUAACUUUUUCCCUGAAAAUCCUGCCUUCUCAGCUUGGGGAACGAGCGGGUCCCAAGGACAGCAGACCCAAAGUUCAGCAUAUGGGAGCAGUUACAGCUACCCACCCAGCUCACUGGGUGGUACCAUUGUGGAUGGACAAACAGGAUUUCAUAAUGAUACCUUAAAUAAAGCUCCUGGAAUGAACAGUAUUGAACAGGGAAUGGUUGGACUUAAGAUUGGUGGAGAUGUUACAACUUCUGCGGUGAAAACAGUAGGUUCUGUUGUUAACAGUGCCGGGAUGACAGGUGCCCUCUCUGGUAAUGGAUCUAAUGUAAACUUGCCAGUAUCUAAACCAACCUCUUGGGCUGCUAUUGCCAGCAAGCCUGCGAAACCACAGCCUAAAAUGAAAACAAAAACUGGACCUGUAAUCGGAGGAGCGUUGCCUCCCCCCCCUAUAAAGCAUAACAUGGACAUAGGUACUUGGGACAAUAAGGGUCCUGUGGCAAAAGUUCCUGCCCCCCAACAGAUACCUUCUCCUCAGUCUGUUCCGCAGCCACAGCAACCGAUUGUUCAGCCUGUUCCAACUCAGCCUCCUCCAUUGACUCAGCCGCAGUAUCAGGCCCCUCAGCAGCCGCCCCAAAAUCGCUGGGUGGCUCCUCGCAACAGAAACGCAGCUUUUGGCCAAAGCGGAGGAACUGGUACCGACAGCAGCUCAGCUGGCAGCACCCAGCCCAACCCCGUCCCCAGCGGAGAGUCCCAUCCCGUCCUGGAAAAACUGAAAGCUGCUCACAGCUAUAACCCUAAAGAUUUCGAGUGGAACCUUAAAAAUGGACGUGUGUUCAUAAUAAAGAGCUAUUCUGAGGAUGAUAUUCAUCGUUCCAUUAAGUAUUCUAUUUGGUGUAGUACGGAACACGGCAACAAACGCCUGGACAGCGCUUUUCGCUCCAUGAACAGCAAGGGUCCCGUCUACUUGCUGUUCAGUGUCAAUGGCAGUGGACACUUCUGUGGAGUAGCAGAGAUGAAAUCACCUGUGGACUACGGCACCAGUGCGGGUGUCUGGUCUCAGGACAAGUGGAAGGGGAAAUUUGACGUCAAGUGGAUCUUUGUGAAGGAUGUGCCCAACAACCAACUGCGACACAUCAGGCUGGAGAACAAUGACAACAAACCCGUUACAAACUCCCGUGAUACACAGGAGGUGCCCUUAGAAAAAGCAAAACAAGUGCUUAAAAUUAUUGCAACUUACAAGCACACGACCUCCAUCUUUGAUGACUUUUCUCAUUAUGAAAAGCGCCAGGAAGAGGAGGAGGUGGUGCGGAAGGUAAACUUAUUAAAAAAUUUAUUUUAUACACAGAUAUGGGGAAAAUGAAAUGUGAAGGCUGCUAUGGUGGAAAAAUGUAAGUAGGAAUUUGAAAUGUCUUUAAUAUGUCUCGAUGGUUUCGUGUGUGUUUAACAACACAAAAAAAAAAAAAAAAACCUGAUGCAAAUCUGUCUGUGAAAAGUUUCAUAGCUAAUGAGUUUCAAAGCAGAAACCUAAGCAGUAAUGCAGGUAAAGGACUUUAUGUCCUGUUUAUUGGAGUUUGAUUUAUUUUUUUAUCUUAAAAUGGUUAAUAAACUAGAAAAUAGUUUCUGUUGCAGAAUUGGAUUCUGCCAGUGAUUGCCACUUAAGUUUUUUGCCUUAACUAUGAGGUGUUUUAACACUGUUUGACUGGAACUGGGAUAUCAGAAUUGAUACCUGUACUGGUAUUUGAAAUGUGUACAUCACCUUUAAAAGCAAGAAACCUGAUUUUGUUUGUUCAGUUGAUCUCUCUGGAAAAGAAAGAGUUGCAUAAAAUUGCUGGAAUAGUGCUAGAAAGAUUGCAUUUCUGCUGCUGAAGUCACAUGUAUUAUUUGGAUAAAUAAAGGUUUUCAGUUCCCAGGUUUAAUCUGUCUACUAAUUCUUGAAGUUUUGAGUGAAGCCUUAGUAAGAGAAGUUUGGGCAGUAACUGGGAGAGUGUAGUAAAACUUUCCAUACACUUUCAUGGCUGAAAGUCUACCGCGAGAAACCUCUGUCCCUCUCCAUCCCAUGACCUCAGCUUCAAGAAUGCCUUUCUCUAAUUAGGCACUCUAGAAGUAAUGGCCUGACAAAAUAAUAGGUGUUGGGAUGUGUAGUUACUCCCUAAGUAACACUUAAAUUUGCUUGAUGUUGAUAGUGUUUCACAGACCUUUUUUGUAUAGCACUGCAGAUACAGCAUUUGUUUGACAGGUUUAGUUUAGUGCAGUUUACACUUGCUUCAAGAUGUUUUUAAAGCAAGGACUUAAUGCAUGUUCCUGCAGCUUAAAUUUUAAGAUUACCAUUUUAAACUUUAUUGCCCUUUAAAAUUGCUUUCAACUGUCUUCAUAUAAUGUACCUUUAAAGUAUGAGAGAAAAUCAGUUCAGCAUCUUAAAAACUUUUUAGCUGAACUUUUUCCUGGCUGUGAUGGAUGUGCAUCGCUGACCUCAGCACAGCAGGGAAGGAGAGCUUAAAACGGGAAGUUUUUCUUGUGUACUCCCCGUGGGGUUUCACAAGGUAAAACCAAAAAGCCUUUACUUGAACACCUCAUUCCUUCAGUAGACAAUCAGCAAUUCAGUAUUUAAUGCAACCUGUGUCUUGGAGAGGUUCACUUACACAGGAGAGAGUCUUGACUAAAGGAGGUGGGCUGGGCUCCUCUGUGCAGUGUUUAUGGUGUAGAGGGGUGUGAUUGGUUUGGGUUUUAAUGCUGAGUCUCCCUGUGAUUUGCUGCCAAGUCUGGAGGGGAGAAGCUGUGUAUGUUUAAGGAGUGAGAGAUCUGCCCUUGCACAGAUAACUUACUGGCCUGAGGAAGAUCCUGAUGGUGGCAUGCUGAGCACUGAAAUUCCUUGACUGUGUAGUAGCUCAGAGGCCUGAUCCCAUUUAGGGUUUGUUUAAUAAACACAGCUAAUUCCCACUUUCAGUUCUAAUGCUGAAACAAUUUCUUACCAAGCCACUUCUUGCUAUACAACAAGAUCAUUUUCUCAAAAUAAUCCAUUUUUCUUCCUCAUUUAAAACCGAGGCUCUAGCUUGUAUGACACAGUCACAAAAUAAACUAUGAAGUCUUAAUUUAAUAUUUCUUAGAUACCUCCAAAUAGCUUAAAAAAUGAGACAGCAAAGUACAGCGAGGAAGGUAAGAGUGCUAGAGAGGGAAAGCAGAUCAGCAGGGAGGGAAUGAAAAACUUAAGAUGCUGCUUUUCAGGUUGCAUUCUCUAAAACUGUUGUCUGGAAAGUCAGUAUUUUUCCCCUUCAUUGACUAAAUGAAUUUUAGAAGUCCAGCUGAUUACUAGAAGAGUUUUUUUGCAGGAUAUACACACACUCUUUAAGUCCUUAUCAUUGAGAAGUUUGUGCUAUUGAAUGUAAAGCCUUGCUGUUAAACAAAGUUAACGUUCCUAUCACAGUAAUUUUUGAACAAUCUUAUUGCAGUUAAGGUGUCUUAUGACCUAAUUGACAUUUUCAGAUGGUUGGUUGUAUAUGUGCCAUCUUAAUUGAUUCUCAGAUUACUAGUUUUAUUCAUUAUACUCUGUUUAACUGUAAAAUUAAUUACUUGUUGAAAUUUUGUGCCUCUGUUUCCCCACUGUCAUGAUUACGAAGGGCAAGAAUUCUUAAAAGUCUGCACAGGGAGCACUUGAAUGCUACAAUGUCAGUUAUACAAAAUAUUUUAUAGGGAACAAUAACGUAAUCAGUGCAGUGCACUGGCGUUUCAGUUCUGUAGAUGGUUCCAGUGUGUUGCUAACCAGCAUUUCCAUAGCUGAUGUCCAGAGCCAGCCCCAGUGUGUGUGAAUUUACCUGAGCAGGAACCUCUGUGUUAGUGCCCAGUCAGCAAAUGAGGGUUUGGCAGGGGCAGUGCCGGAUGAAAUUCAUUAAAGUGCCAAAGAUCCAUCACCAGUACCAGUAUUGCGGCAUCUGGAACUGAGGGGAGAUUUGUUCGUGCUGGGAUGUAAGUCCAGCUUUUGAUUUGCCAUAGGAAUAAAAUAUUUAAGCCCAGUCUGUUGACCCAGAACCUGGGAGAGGAGUAAUAGAAAGAUAUCGGGAUCUGGAAUGAAAUAGCAAAACAGUGAGCGGCCUGAAAUCUCUCCUGACCCUCCCUGCCCUUUUCAGUCAGUUCCAGGGCUGUUACAUUGUCCACAAAGAGCAACUUCCAUGAUUAAACUCAUGCUCUGAAAAUGUAAAAGAGUUGUGACAUAGAGAGCUUCUUCAAUAGAAAUACAGUAUAAUGUGUUAAUUGUUAACAGUCCCUAAAAACGUGCUUGCACACUCUUAACAAAGUUAAGUCUGUCUUGCAAAGUUAAAAGGCUUGUAAAGGCAAUAAACUUCUUGUAGGUUUUGGUAUUUUUAUUUACAUCUCAUGGUAGGGCAGGUGACAGAUCAGCUGUCAGCAGCUGGUCCUCACAGGUCUGUACCUAAGCACGUGGUCACAGUUCUGUACUGGGCUGCACUGCUGUCACCUCAGAUCUGGGUCAAGGCACUCAGCUGUUCCAAGGUCUGCUCCUUGGUGUUGUGUUGGAAGAGCUGCACAGCCUCAGAAAGCUCCUGAAUCACCAAGAUUACCAGUUCUGCUUUAGGUGGUUAAAUACUGAAAAGUGUUGGCUGGUCCACAUUGGCAAUUGGAAAUACUCACUUUCUUCUAGCACUGUGAUCCCUCUCAGUGAGCUUUCUGUGAACACACUCAUUGACACAGAACUUUUAAGGAUGGAAUAUUGUCCUUCCUCCAAAGCUCUAGCUAAAAAACAUUUAUAUUAUAAGAUUAAUACUCUGUUCCUAAUAUAAAGAAAACAUCUGUAUGUUUGUGUCUGAAGAUGAACACUUUGAUCCUAUUGACUUUGACUAAGUUUAGUAGGAAGGGUGAAGAUAUUUUAGACUGAGGUGAAGAGAACAGAAGUUUGACAGGAUUGAGUGUCUCCAAGAUGGAAACUCCUGCAAGUUUUGUGAAAACCCAUUUUCCCUGUGUCUGAAGAUCAUAUACAUUAGUGUCCCGAAGGAGAAAUGCAACAGGAGCUCUCCUGUGAGAUACCAGAGAACUCCACUGGAGAAGAGAAACUGUGAAGGCUCCGGAUCUUCAGAACCAAAAUGAGCAAAGCUUUGGUAGUUGCUCACAAAACUGUUUGUUCUUGCUUGCAGUAAGUGCUUAAAUAGCAGUAAGGAAGAGAAUUUGAGAGGUAGAGCUUCUAAAAAGCAGCCAUGCUCAAGAGCACGAAGAAUUGUUGCGUCAGUUUAUGUGGUUUCAGACAAUUGUAAAGAGGAAGACUCAGAUUAGCCCCCAAGAGAGAAAGCAAAGCAGCAAGGAACGUCAGAAUCGAAACAAACAAUAAGAAUAAACAUAUACAGUUUGAUAUAUAUACUAGAACUGAUAUUAAAUUCGACUAUGAGAAACAAAAUUAAGUAUAACUGGUGCUGUAUCCUGGCAUCAGGACAAACUAAAGCUUUCAGCUCCAAUAUAUCUUCUCGUGCAGGGGAAAUUAAGUUGUCACAUCUUUAAGUACAUUGUAGUUUAUUUUUGCCCAAAUGGAUCUGCAUUAAUUUGUAUCUUUUUUUUUCUAUGUAAAAUUCUGUAGAAAUCAUUAAUAAAGGUGUGUCUGUUUUUAUUUUUUUAAGUUGAUAAACAGUUAUAUUAACCUAAUGUGGACCUAUACAUGAGCAUACUAAAGUGUCAGUGCUUCCCAAAGACUUUAUUUUGGCACAAAUUAUGUUCCUAGCCAGAUAUAGAGAUUAUGGAAAAUACAUGACAAAUCUUCCUUUAUCCUCCUCCCAAACCCUUUUCUUCAUGGCAGAAGUAAGAAACCAUGCAUUGAUUUUAUUUUUUUUUUGUCAUUUGAAAAACCUCUAAAGAUACUGCACUUCAGAAUUUUGAAAUGGAAAAAAAAAAAAAAACUAACCUAAAUUUCUGAUCACUUUGUGCAGCUGCUCUGCCUCUUUAUUUAUCUGUACAAUUACACUUUUAAAACUGCUGAUGCGCCAUGUUGGUUUUUUCUGUCUAGUAGGAAAUCAAAUUGUCAGUGAAAUUGUUUCUCUGGAAAAAUAUUUCCCUUUCACAUUCUGUUAACCAGUGCUUCAGUGUGCAUCUGUUAUUCCAUAUCCUGCCGAGGGUGAGCGAGAUGCUUUCUCUCAGCCAUAAUUCUGCUUUACGGUUUUUGUAGCUUAAUUAAAUAAUAAUGUGAUGCUAUCGACAUUGCAGGGGUUUUAAACAAUGUGUUUAAACCUGUUUCAGCUUUCAGGUGUUAUUAGUUAACUUGCAGAUCAUUUUUAAUCCUUCCCUUCAUUACUCCCUCCCACCCCCCCCCCCAAAUCCUAAUGCCAUUUAAAGUUUUUAUACCAAUAAUGCUGAGCUUUAACGUAGGAACUAAUAGUACGGAUAAUAUGAUGGAUUAUGCCUCAGAUGUUUAAAAUUGACAGUGUGUAUGUCUAAUUUUUUUUUUUUUUUCUGUUGGAUGAGUAAAAAAACCUGUUUUAAGAAAAUGAAUUUGCUGUCAUGUUUUUGUGGAGUGAGGGGACCGUCGGAGAACCUGUCACCAACUGGAGUUCCAAUUAAGCAUGGAAAUGGUGCUCAUGUCCGCUGCUCUAGCACACUGAAUCUGCACGUGUUUAUUGUAGAGGAUCUUUUACUAUAUUAGAAAGCAAGUAUCUUCUGAAUACUAUUUACUCCAAAAGGACCUCCAAUUUAAAUAAAGUUUAAUCUGUAUCAUUUAGACUUGUAUUUAGAACGUAUAACUCUUGUCUCUGGACUGUUACUGCCUGUAAGGGGUAAUGGACAGCAUCAGAUUAACUUUUUCCUCUAGGAGAAUACAAGCCUUAAUAAACAAUACAUAUUUAGCAA